Myxocyprinus asiaticus (Chinese sucker) is the source of this 1533-nucleotide long non-coding RNA. RefSeq lists it as uncharacterized. Lineage: Eukaryota; Metazoa; Chordata; Actinopteri; Cypriniformes; Catostomidae. The transcript is spliced from 3 exons. The record is from RefSeq and is a predicted model, not a curated record.
GAUGCGCAUUGUUCUGCUUUUCAAACCGCACUGUAAUUUCAGUCCUCUGAGAACAUUCUAUCUUGACAAACAAAGAAGUCUCUUUUAAGGGAUCUGACUUGUGUAUGUUCUGUGAGAAACUUGUAGUCCUGCUGGAAAAUAAUCUCUGACAAUUUCAGGUGUAUGGUUACCAGUCCAGAGACAAGAGACUUCAGAGUGAUGUUCCACUGUGCAAUGCAGGACUGGGCAGCCAGUUAGAGGGAGUUUAAGGAUCAACGUGUCUAAAGAGAGAGUGAUUUUCUACAUCCAAUCUUCACAAGCUCCCCUGCUGUUCGAGAGAGGCCAACUCUGCACUUCUGACCCCGAAACCCCUCGCUAGGAGUGCUAUUACACAUCAGAUGAGGUUAUUGCAUGUAGGAGUGCAUAGCGUGUCUUUCUGUGAGUCUUUUCAACUGAAUGUCUCACUCUGAGUUGUGGAACCGGCUGGAUCCAGCUCCAUUCCUGCUUUGUGUUGUUCUCCACUGCUAUGUGUCACUGUGUGAUGAUGACUAAUAGCAGCCGGUGCCAGCCAAACAUCACUUCAGUCUAUUACGAUGGACUUCAGAGGAUAAACUGAUGCCAACUCCAACCAUAAGACAUGGGAUACUUCAUAUGCCAUUGCCUGAACCUUGGACUUAUGGUAGACCUCACUGAAAUUACUGACCAGGUUGAACUGCGAUGCACCUAACUGAUCUCUGCUUGCAUCACCUCAGUCUAAUAAUGGACUACACUCUUGAAAUGGAAUACAUAGACUUUCAAUUAAUUGCCAACAAAACCCUUCAUCAGCCAACUAACAAGGACAAUUGCAUCUAUGUGAACUUCUGCAGUUAAUCCAGCAUGAACUUCAAAGACAUUAGUCAUUAAUCUUACAAUUCAUACAAAAUCUUUGUUUUAAACACUGACCCUUUACACUUAGCUUAAUAAUUUUAAACCAUGACUUGCACUAUACAUAAGUAAUAUUGGCAUUAUAUUCAUGAUGUUAGCCAGAGGGGAACUGGCCCCUACAGUGAGUCUGGUUUCUCCCAAGGUUAUUUUUCUCCAUUAAACAACAUCUUAUGAAGUUUUGUAUUCCUUGCCACAGUCGCCUUCGGCUUGCUCACUGGAGUUAUAAAUACAAUUAUUAUUUAGUUACUUAUUUUUAAACACAAUUCACAAUCGUAUUUUAUCAAACUACACAAUGAUGACUCUAAGACAUUAUAGAUAUCACAGUUUUUUCUUCUGUUUAUGCCUGAUUUUCUGUAAAGCUGCUUUGAAACGAUGUGUGUUGUGAAAGGCACUAUACAAAUAAAAAUGACUUGACUCAUCUGACAUGCGUAUCUGUGUUUCAUGUUCGUGUCGAACAUGAAACAGCUGACCAUCUCUGGAGCAUGGAGAUGCAAAUCAUUUUUGACCCGAAUUGAUAAAAGAAAGACAUCUCCACAGAACUGGAUGAAUCCUAAACAAGAUAAGAAAAUUAAGAGGAACUUGUUAAAACAGGUGUGACAUCUGUGGUGUGGGUUCACAAAAGCCAACACA